RNAcentral lists this ribosomal RNA (1385 nucleotides) under Staphylococcus aureus. Its description in RNAcentral is "partial 16S ribosomal RNA". It matches the Rfam family "Bacterial small subunit ribosomal RNA", at positions 22 to 1388 of the family's 1533-position model. Lineage: Bacteria; Bacillati; Bacillota; Bacilli; Caryophanales; Staphylococcaceae. The record is from RNAcentral.
GCUCAGGAUGAACGCUGGCGGCGUGCCUAAUACAUGCAAGUCGAGCGAACGGACGAGAAGCUUGCUUCUCUGAUGUUAGCGGCGGACGGGUGAGUAACACGUGGAUAACCUACCUAUAAGACUGGGAUAACUUCGGGAAACCGGAGCUAAUACCGGAUAAUAUUUUGAACCGCAUGGUUCAAAAGUGAAAGACGGUCUUGCUGUCACUUAUAGAUGGAUCCGCGCUGCAUUAGCUAGUUGGUAAGGUAACGGCUUACCAAGGCAACGAUGCAUAGCCGACCUGAGAGGGUGAUCGGCCACACUGGAACUGAGACACGGUCCAGACUCCUACGGGAGGCAGCAGUAGGGAAUCUUCCGCAAUGGGCGAAAGCCUGACGGAGCAACGCCGCGUGAGUGAUGAAGGUCUUCGGAUCGUAAAACUCUGUUAUUAGGGAAGAACAUAUGUGUAAGUAACUGUGCACAUCUUGACGGUACCUAAUCAGAAAGCCACGGCUAACUACGUGCCAGCAGCCGCGGUAAUACGUAGGUGGCAAGCGUUAUCCGGAAUUAUUGGGCGUAAAGCGCGCGUAGGCGGUUUUUUAAGUCUGAUGUGAAAGCCCACGGCUCAACCGUGGAGGGUCAUUGGAAACUGGAAAACUUGAGUGCAGAAGAGGAAAGUGGAAUUCCAUGUGUAGCGGUGAAAUGCGCAGAGAUAUGGAGGAACACCAGUGGCGAAGGCGACUUUCUGGUCUGUAACUGACGCUGAUGUGCGAAAGCGUGGGGAUCAAACAGGAUUAGAUACCCUGGUAGUCCACGCCGUAAACGAUGAGUGCUAAGUGUUAGGGGGUUUCCGCCCCUUAGUGCUGCAGCUAACGCAUUAAGCACUCCGCCUGGGGAGUACGACCGCAAGGUUGAAACUCAAAGGAAUUGACGGGGACCCGCACAAGCGGUGGAGCAUGUGGUUUAAUUCGAAGCAACGCGAAGAACCUUACCAAAUCUUGACAUCCUUUGACAACUCUAGAGAUAGAGCCUUCCCCUUCGGGGGACAAAGUGACAGGUGGUGCAUGGUUGUCGUCAGCUCGUGUCGUGAGAUGUUGGGUUAAGUCCCGCAACGAGCGCAACCCUUAAGCUUAGUUGCCAUCAUUAAGUUGGGCACUCUAAGUUGACUGCCGGUGACAAACCGGAGGAAGGUGGGGAUGACGUCAAAUCAUCAUGCCCCUUAUGAUUUGGGCUACACACGUGCUACAAUGGACAAUACAAAGGGCAGCGAAACCGCGAGGUCAAGCAAAUCCCAUAAAGUUGUUCUCAGUUCGGAUUGUAGUCUGCAACUCGACUACAUGAAGCUGGAAUCGCUAGUAAUCGUAGAUCAGCAUGCUACGGUGAAUACGUUCCCGGGUCUUGUACAC